CCUACGGGUGGCUGCAGUGAGGAAUAUUGGUCAAUGGCCGUAAGGCUGAACCAGCCAAGUCGCGUGAAGGAUGACGGACCUAUGGUUUGUAAACUUCUUUUAUAGGGGAAUAAAGGUAUCCACGUGUGGAUAUUUGCAUGUACCCUAUGAAUAAGCAUCGGCUAACUCCGUGCCAGCAGCCGCGGUAAUACGGAGGAUGCGAGCGUUAUCCGGAUUUAUUGGGUUUAAAGGGUGCGUAGGUUGUUUUUUAAGUCAGCGGUGAAAGUUUGCGGCUCAACCGUAAAAUUGCAGUUGAUACUGGCAUCCUUGAGUACAGUAGAGGUAGGCGGAAUUCGUGGUGUAGCGGUGAAAUGCUUAGAUAUCACGAAGAACUCCGAUUGCGAAGGCAGCCUGCUGGACUGUAACUGACGCUGAUGCUCGAAAGUGUGGGUAUCAAACAGGAUUAGAUACCCUUGUAGUC
RNAcentral lists this ribosomal RNA (460 nucleotides) under uncultured bacterium. Its description in RNAcentral is "partial 16S ribosomal RNA". It matches the Rfam family "Bacterial small subunit ribosomal RNA", at positions 338 to 795 of the family's 1533-position model. The record is from RNAcentral.